GACGAACGCUGGCGGCGUGCCUAAUACAUGCAAGUAGAACGCUUAAGAGAGGAGCUUGCUCUUCUUGGAUGAGUUGCGAACGGGUGAGUAACGCGUAGGUAACCUGCCUUGUAGCGGGGGAUAACUAUUGGAAACGAUAGCUAAUACCGCAUAACAAUAGGUGACACAUGUCAUUUAUUUGAAAGGGGCAAUUGCUCCACUACAAGAUGGACCUGCGUUGUAUUAGCUAGUAGGUGAGGUAACGGCUCACCUAGGCGACGAUACAUAGCCGACCUGAGAGGGUGAUCGGCCACACUGGGACUGAGACACGGCCCAGACUCCUACGGGAGGCAGCAGUAGGGAAUCUUCGGCAAUGGGGGCAACCCUGACCGAGCAACGCCGCGUGAGUGAAGAAGGUUUUCGGAUCGUAAAGCUCUGUUGUAAGUCAAGAACGAGUGUGAGAGUGGAAAGUUCACACUGUGACGGUAGCUUACCAGAAAGGGACGGCUAACUACGUG
This 497-nucleotide ribosomal RNA is filed under the name uncultured bacterium. Its description in RNAcentral is "partial 16S ribosomal RNA". It matches the Rfam family "Bacterial small subunit ribosomal RNA", at positions 28 to 507 of the family's 1533-position model. The record is from RNAcentral.